AGCUUCAGUAGCGUAUAUUAAAGUUGUUGCGUUUAAAAAGCUCGUAGUUGGUUGUUCGCUCGGCAGAGGUCAGCACCUGUGCAGACCUGUGUUGGGUGGUCUUAGGCGUUCGCGCCUGUUUCACCGUGAGAAAACUAGUGUGAUCCAAACAGGUUGUGCUUGAAUGUUUCAGCACGGAAUGGGUCGUUGGCUACUGCGUUGGUGGCUUCGGUUGCUUUCGCAGCAGUAAUCGUUAAGAGGGACAGCUGGUGGAUCUCGUAUUGAGUUGCUAGAGGUGAAAUUCUUGGAUCAACUCACGACGAGCUGACGCGAAAGCCUUUUCCACAUGCGUUCCUU
This 336-nucleotide ribosomal RNA is filed under the name uncultured eukaryote. RNAcentral's name for it is "partial small subunit ribosomal RNA". It matches the Rfam family "Eukaryotic small subunit ribosomal RNA", at positions 587 to 972 of the family's 1831-position model. The record is from RNAcentral.